Molecule: ribosomal RNA, 500 nt
Filed under: uncultured bacterium
Lineage: Bacteria
Description: partial 16S ribosomal RNA
Rfam family: Bacterial small subunit ribosomal RNA
Source: RNAcentral
AUUGAACGCUGGCGGCAUGCCUUACACAUGCAAGUCGAACGGCAGCACGGGAGCAAUCCUGGUGGCGAGUGGCGAACGGGUGAGUAAUAUAUCGGAACGUGCCCAGUCGUGGGGGAUAACGCAGCGAAAGCUGUGCUAAUACCGCAUACGAUCUAUGGAUGAAAGCGGGGGAUCGCAAGACCUCGCGCGAUUGGAGCGGCCGAUAUCAGAUUAGCUAGUUGGUGAGGUAAAGGCUCACCAAGGCGACGAUCUGUAGCUGGUCUGAGAGGACGACCAGCCACACUGGAACUGAGACACGGUCCAGACUCCUACGGGAGGCAGCAGUGGGGAAUUUUGGACAAUGGGCGAAAGCCUGAUCCAGCAAUGCCGCGUGCAGGAUGAAGGCCUUCGGGUUGUAAACUGCUUUUGUACGGAACGAAACGGUGAGCUCUAAUACAGUUUGCUAAUGACGGUACCGUAAGAAUAAGCACCGGCUAACUACGUGCCAGCCGCCGCCGUAA